Molecule: ribosomal RNA, 253 nt
Filed under: uncultured bacterium
Lineage: Bacteria
Description: partial 16S ribosomal RNA
Rfam family: Bacterial small subunit ribosomal RNA
Source: RNAcentral
UACGUAGGGUGCAAGCGUUGUCCGGAAUUAUUGGGCGUAAAGAGCUCGUAGGCGGUCUGUCGCGUCGGCUGUGAAAACCCGAGGCUCAACCUCGGGCCUGCAGUCGAUACGGGCAAACUGGAGUGUUGCAGGGGAGACUGGAAUUCCCGGUGUAGCGGUGAAAUGCGCAGAUAUCAGGAGGAACACCGGUGGCGAAGGCGGGUCUCUGGGCAACAACUGACGCUGAGGAGCGAAAGCGUGGGGAGCGAACAGG